UGAACGCUAGCUACAGGCUUAACACAUGCAAGUCGAGGGGCAUCAGGAAGAAAGCUUGCUUUCUUUGCUGGCGACCGGCGCACGGGUGAGUAACACGUAUCCAACCUGCCCUUUACUCGGGGAUAGCCUUUCGAAAGAAAGAUUAAUACCCGAUAGCAUAAUGAUUCCGCAUGGUUUCAUUAUUAAAGGAUUCCGGUAAAGGAUGGGGAUGCGUUCCAUUAGGUUGUUGGUGAGGUAACGGCCCACCAAGCCUUCGAUGGAUAGGGGUUCUGAGAGGAAGGUCCCCCACAUUGGAACUGAGACACGGUCCAAACUCCUACGGGAGGCAGCAGUGAGGAAUAUUGGUCAAUGGGCGCUAGCCUGAACCAGCCAAGUAGCGUGAAGGAUGAAGGCUCUAUGGGUCGUAAACUUCUUUUAUAUAAGAAUAAAGUGCAGUAUGUAUACUGUUUUGUAUGUAUUAUAUGAAUAAGGAUCGGCUAACUCCGUGCCAGCAGCCGCGGUAAUACGGAGGAUCCGAGCGUUAUCCGGAUUUAUUGGGUUUAAAGGGAGCGUAGGUGGACUGGUAAGUCAGUUGUGAAAGUUUGCGGCUCAACCGUAAAAUUGCAGUUGAUACUGUCAGUCUUGAGUACAGUAGAGGUGGGCGGAAUUCGUGGUGUAGCGGUGAAAUGCUUAGAUAUCACGAAGAACUCCGAUUGCGAAGGCAGCUCACUGGACUGCAACUGACACUGAUGCUCGAAAGUGUGGGUAUCAAACAGGAUUAGAUACCCUGGUAGUCCACACAGUAAACGAUGAAUACUCGCUGUUUGCGAUAUACAGUAAGCGGCCAAGCGAAAGCAUUAAGUAUUCCACCUGGGGAGUACGCCGGCAACGGUGAAACUCAAAGGAAUUGACGGGGGCCCGCACAAGCGGAGGAACAUGUGGUUUAAUUCGAUGAUACGCGAGGAACCUUACCCGGGCUUAAAUUGCAGUGGAAUGAUGUGGAAACAUGUCAGUGAGCAAUCACCGCUGUGAAGGUGCUGCAUGGUUGUCGUCAGCUCGUGCCGUGAGGUGUCGGCUUAAGUGCCAUAACGAGCGCAACCCUUAUCUUUAGUUACUAACAGGUUAUACUGAGGACUCUAGAGAGACUGCCGUCGUAAGAUGUGAGGAAGGUGGGGAUGACGUCAAAUCAGCACGGCCCUUACGUCCGGGGCUACACACGUGUUACAAUGGGGGGUACAGAAGGCAGCUAGCGGGUGACCGUAUGCUAAUCCCAAAAUCCUCUCUCAGUUCGGAUCGAAGUCUGCAACCCGACUUCGUGAAGCUGGAUUCGCUAGUAAUCGCGCAUCAGCCACGGCGCGGUGAAUACGUUCCCGGGCCUUGUACACACCGCCCGUCAAGCCAUGGGAGCCGGGGGUACCUGAAGUACGUAACCGCAAGGAUCGUCCUAGGGUAAAACUGGU
This 1439-nucleotide ribosomal RNA is filed under the name uncultured organism. RNAcentral's name for it is "16S ribosomal RNA". It matches the Rfam family "Bacterial small subunit ribosomal RNA". The record is from RNAcentral.